Long non-coding RNA from Gavialis gangeticus (Gharial), 270 nucleotides. RefSeq lists it as uncharacterized. The record is from RefSeq and is a predicted model, not a curated record. The transcript has 3 exons. Lineage: Eukaryota; Metazoa; Chordata; Crocodylia; Gavialidae.
GAAGAGGCUGGUGCAGGCCGUAUCAGGAGCACUGCACCUUUCCAGGCUCAGCUGCGUGGGGCAGGCAGCAGUGCCAACACUGGAAGGGGUCGAGACUCCUGGCCUGGCAGAGCCCAGCCUCCCCCCACCGGGAAAAGGCUGAUGUCACACGCCUUUGUGGGCUCAGGGUGGGCAACAGCUCUGUAUACAAGGUAAGCACGUGCCUCUGGGCCGCAGGGCUCAGCAGCCUGUUGGUGCUGGUGCUGAUUUCUGAGAUUUUCAAACUGAGUU